RNAcentral lists this ribosomal RNA (466 nucleotides) under uncultured bacterium. RNAcentral describes it as "partial 16S ribosomal RNA". It matches the Rfam family "Bacterial small subunit ribosomal RNA", at positions 28 to 507 of the family's 1533-position model. The record is from RNAcentral.
GAUGAACGCUGGCGGCGUGCUUAACACAUGCAAGUCGAACGGAAAGGCUCCUGCUUGCAGGGGUACUCGAGUGGCGAACGGGUGAGUAACACGUGGGUGAACUGCCCUGCACUUCGGAAUAAGCCUGGGAAACUGGGUCUAAUACCGGAUAGGACGAUGGUUUGGAUGCCAUUGUGGAAAGUUUUUUCGGUGUGGGAUGAGCUCGCGGCCUAUCAGCUUGUUGGUGGGGUAAUGGCCUACCAAGGCGUCGACGGGUAGCCGGCCUGAGAGGGUGUACGGCCACAUUGGGACUGAGAUACGGCCCAGACUCCUACGGGAGGCAGCAGUGGGGAAUAUUGCACAAUGGGCGCAAGCCUGAUGCAGCGACGCCGCGUGGGGGAUGACGGCCUUCGGGUUGUAAACUCCUUUCGCUAGGGACGAAGCGCAAGUGACGGUACCUGGAGAAGAAGCACCGGCUAACUACGUG